Oreochromis niloticus (Nile tilapia) is the source of this 601-nucleotide long non-coding RNA. RefSeq lists it as uncharacterized. The record is from RefSeq and is a predicted model, not a curated record. Lineage: Eukaryota; Metazoa; Chordata; Actinopteri; Cichliformes; Cichlidae. The transcript is spliced from 6 exons.
CAAGGAGCCAAAAGGCGGGUGGCCGGUCUAUGAAGCCUCCAUCAUCAAGCUAGCAGCCCAUGAAAUCGAAUGCAGAUCUUCCUGAUGUGAGAUUUACAUAAAUAUGUCAAAGUCUCAACCUCAUGCUGCCCUCCCCCAUCCUCCUAAACCUGUGGAUACAAAUGCAGAUUUCCUUAAUGUUCAAUGGUGCGUGUUCUUCUAAUGGCUGCCUUCCCACUGGAGGUUUUGAUCCACAGCAAUUUAAAAGGUAAACAGCUUUGAAAGUCAGUUCAAAUGGUUAGCUAAUAGUAUUCUAAAAAGCCUACAACUCUGUCACCAGUUUCUUUACCAAAAAGUACCCAUAAAAGUAUCUCUCAAUAGCAUAUCAUUGUAGUUCAAAUGUUUAGUUGUACAAAUAUCAGAUUUUAGGAAAUCUAAAACUAGUCAAACACUCAAAUGUUCAUGCUUUUUAUAGGACAGAGCAAAACGGACAUCGGCGCAAAGUGAAGAACUGCCCUUCAUAAGGACACUAUGACAGCCAUAUAUAUGGCAGUAAGGAAGAGGUUUCCCAAUGUGUCCAGAAGGGCUUUGAGGAUUGCAGUGAAAGCUGGGGGAACUGAGA